GACAGAGGGUGCAAACGUUGUUCGGAAUUACUGGGCGUAAAGCGCGUGUAGGCUGCUUCGCAAGUCGGAUGUGAAAGCCCUGGGCUCAACCCAGGAAGUGCAUUCGAAACUGCAGAGCUGGAGUCCUGGAGAGGAAGGCGGAAUUCUCGGUGUAGAGGUGAAAUUCGUAGAUAUCGAGAGGAACACCGGUGGCGAAGGCGCCUAUCUGGCCCGAUACUGACGCUGAGGCGCGAAAGCUAGGGGAGCAAACGGG
RNAcentral lists this ribosomal RNA (253 nucleotides) under uncultured bacterium. Its description in RNAcentral is "partial 16S ribosomal RNA". It matches the Rfam family "Bacterial small subunit ribosomal RNA", at positions 524 to 776 of the family's 1533-position model. The record is from RNAcentral.